AAGUCGUAACAAGGAUCAUUAACACGUAUCCAACGUUAAACCCCCCGUGCACACAGCGACCUGCUCCUCAAUUUCGGUCUUUUGGCAAUCCCUGGUAAAUCGCCGAACAGUUUUGAUUCAGGGACAUCCAAAGGGCCAUUAAAGUAGUAGUCAAUGCAAGCAACCUGGUUUCUUUGAAGCAGAAAGUGUGAUGGCGAGCCGGAGAACGGACCGAGUGGUAGUUCAAAGGUGCCUUCUGUCGCGCACUGUGGAAAGGAAGACGCUUUACGAAUCACUGUCCAACACGGUACCCCAUAUUCACCACCACAGUCGCAGACGAGGUAGGGAUACAAUGAUCAUGAACAACUGUUAACAAUGGAUAUCUUGGUUCUCG
This 373-nucleotide unclassified non-coding RNA is filed under the name fungal sp. Its description in RNAcentral is "partial internal transcribed spacer region". The record is from RNAcentral. Lineage: Eukaryota; Fungi.